This 496-nucleotide ribosomal RNA is filed under the name uncultured bacterium. Its description in RNAcentral is "partial 16S ribosomal RNA". It matches the Rfam family "Bacterial small subunit ribosomal RNA", at positions 29 to 507 of the family's 1533-position model. The record is from RNAcentral.
AUGAACGCUGGCGGCGUGCCUCAUCCAUGCAAGUCGCGCGAACAGACGAGGAGCUUGCUCCUCUGACGUUAGCGGCGGACGGGUGAGUAACACGUGGAUAACCUACCUAUAAGACUGGGAUAACUUCGGGAAACCGGAGCUAAUACCGGAUAAUAUAUUGAACCGCAUGGUUCAAUAGUGAAAGACGGUUUUGCUGUCACUUAUAGAUGGAUCCGCGCCGCAUUAGCUAGUUGGUAAGGUAACGGCUUACCAAGGCAACGAUGCGUAGCCGACCUGAGAGGGUGAUCGGCCACACUGGAACUGAGACACGGUCCAGACUCCUACGGGAGGCAGCAGUAGGGAAUCUUCCGCAAUGGGCGAAAGCCUGACGGAGCAACGCCGCGUGAGUGAUGAAGGUCUUCGGAUCGUAAAACUCUGUUAUUAGGGAAGAACAAAUGUGUAAGUAACUAUGGACGUCUUGACGGUACCUAAUCAGAAAGCCACGGCUAACUACGUG